This is a long non-coding RNA of Oncorhynchus tshawytscha (Chinook salmon), 1134 nucleotides long. The record is from Ensembl. Lineage: Eukaryota; Metazoa; Chordata; Actinopteri; Salmoniformes; Salmonidae.
CAUCAAUGUCAUCGUGUUUCCAAGCCACAGUAAUGCACUUAGAGCAACUCUUCAUCAAUGUCAUCGUGUUUCCAAGCCACAGUACUGCACUUUAAAGCAACUCUUCAUCAAUGUCAUCGUGUUUCCAAGCCACAGUACUGCACUUUAAAGCAACUCUUCAUCAUAACACUGGGACAUGAUGACUGGAACUGCAUGUAGAACAUUGUCAUGUAGGACGUGUGUAGAUGUGUAGAUGUGUAGGAUUUGCUGACCCCUCAUCACCGAUUCAGUACCUAUAGGCCUGUGUCUGACCAUGCCACUUUGUGACACAUUACGUCCGUUAGCUCGUUAACUCGUCUGUAUUGGUGACUGUAACCAUGGCAGCAUGUCUAACGACCAACCCCCACCUCACCCUGUCUCCUCCGCUCCUCCAAGGUCGCCCCGGCGGUGCUACCAGCUAAACGGACAGUCGGGGCGCAGGCCAACGGAGCAGGACCGGGACACAUCUGUCUGUUUGGAUCCUUAUGUGGUCAUUCAAUGAGGCGUCAGGGCCGCAUGUCGCCCAGCAAGUCUGUCUGGCAUCUGUCUGUUGGCUCAGUGUUGUGUCUGUCACGCUCAAACAGCGACAAUUUAAUGUGGCCAACUUUUAUUGAGUGGGUCAGACAUUGUUGGCCCGGAUGAAGUGGAAUUUCUCUGGCUGUGAUUUUAAAUUGAGCCACUCAUUAGCCCCUCGAAACGAAUGACUUUAUUAAUCUCCUGGGGGGAAAUGAUUUGGGAAAUGGAUAACGACCAUUCGCAGGUUUUGGAGUUCUAUGCUAUCAUGUUUGGCUUAAAACCUUUCAUUAAUAUAACAGAGGAAAUCCGUUACAAUAUAUAGUUUCAUUAAUAUAACAGCUCCAGGUUAACUGUUGAAGGGGAUAUAUAGUUUAAUUAAUAUAACAGCUCCAGGUUAACUGUUGAAGGGGAUAUAUAGUUUAGUUAAUAUAACAGCUCCAGGUUAACUGUUGAAGGGGAUAUAUAGUUUAAUUAAUGUAACAGCUCCAGGUUAACUGUUGAAGGGGAUAUAUAGUUUAAUUGAUAUAACAACUCCAGGUUAACUGUUGAAGGGGAUAUAUAGUUUAAUUGAUAUAACAACUCCAGGUUAACUGUUGAAGG